This 201-nucleotide long non-coding RNA is filed under the name Mytilus galloprovincialis (Mediterranean mussel). The record is from RNAcentral. Lineage: Eukaryota; Metazoa; Mollusca; Bivalvia; Mytilida; Mytilidae.
CGGUGAAGGAUCGUCGAAGCACAUGUCACGUGACGGACCGGAAGACAACGCUAGUCUUUUAUUGAAGAAUUUAUGAUCUUUAAAUGUUUUCAUGUUUUUUUUUUUGCUGAGAAAACAACAGACCAACAAACUAUCAAAGAAAGUGACAUCUACAACUAAAAAUACGAGAAAGUCGCAUCAGAGCAAAGAUAGUUAAAUUUC